CACGUAGGCGGAUUCUUAAGUCGGAGGUGAAAUCCUGGAGCUCAACUCCAGAACUGCCUUCGAUACUGGGAGUCUUCGAGUUCGGGAGAGGUGAGUGGAACUGCGAGUGUAGAGGUGAAAUUCGUAGAUAUUCGCAAGAACACCAGUGGCGAAGGCGGCUCACUGGCCCGAUACUGACGCUGAGGUGCGAAAGCGUGGGGAGCAAACA
This 208-nucleotide ribosomal RNA is filed under the name uncultured bacterium. RNAcentral's name for it is "partial 16S ribosomal RNA". It matches the Rfam family "Bacterial small subunit ribosomal RNA", at positions 568 to 774 of the family's 1533-position model. The record is from RNAcentral.